Molecule: long non-coding RNA, 683 nt
Organism: Stomoxys calcitrans (stable fly)
Lineage: Eukaryota; Metazoa; Arthropoda; Insecta; Diptera; Muscidae
Exons: 2
Source: RefSeq, a predicted model, not a curated record
UUAAGCGAAAUUUUCUAAAAUAAGUUUAAAGAAAAAAAAUACAAACAUUUGGCCGGCCGGGGAUUCGAAUCGGCUUUGCAAAUCAUGAUUGCCAUGGAAAUUUGUGUGCUAGAUGGCAGAACGCGUAUUUUAGCAAAUAGCUAAACAAAAGAAUUUGUUGAAAAUCUACAAAAUUUCAACUAUGUAUUUUGUCUGUCAAGUCUUUACUAACAUACUUCAACAAUUAAUGUCUUAUAUUCAAUGCUAAAAAUCGAUGAUCCAACCAUGUCCAUUCGUGUGUUUCUUGAAAUCCCACUUUGUAUGUACCUGUCUCAUAGACCGCUCCACCGAUUGAAAGCAUUCAACGUACAACGUACAAAGACUCAUAUAAAUAUUACCCAGAAUUUAUGACUUCUUGAUAGAUCCCUUGACACUCGCACCUAUUGCAGUCAAUACAGGAAUUUAUGCACUUUUUGCUUAAAUUUGGAACAGUGAGACCCUUUGUAACAGCAUUAGACACCUCGACGUUCAGGCCGAGUAUGAUUCAGAUUGGAAGGUAUUUAAAUUUAGCUCCACUAUAAACUCGUCAUCCGAUGUAAAAUUUUGGGCUCAUAAAAACCACAUAUUUUACCCGCUUUAGCUGUAAAGAGAGUUUAAUUAAAUCCCCGAUAAACGUGGGAAAUAUAGUCCAGUUUCGAUCAUAA